Molecule: ribosomal RNA, 305 nt
Filed under: uncultured bacterium
Lineage: Bacteria
Description: bacterial SSU rRNA
Rfam family: Bacterial small subunit ribosomal RNA
Source: RNAcentral
UUCCUACGGGAGGCAGCAGUGAGGAAUAUUGGUCAAUGGGCUUACGCCUGAACCAGCCAAGUCGCGUGAGGGAAGACUGCCCUAUGGGUUGUAAACCUCUUUUGUCAGGGAGCAAUUGGCGCUACGUGUAGCGUUAUCGAGAGUACCUGAAGAAAAAGCAUCGGCUAACUCCGUGCCAGCAGCCGCGGUAAUACGGAGGAUGCGAGCGUUAUCCGGAUUUAUUGGGUUUAAAGGGUGCGUAGGCGGGCUUUUAAGUCAGCGGUAAAAAUUCGGGGCUCAACCCCGUCCGGCCGUUGAAACUGGGG